This is a non-coding RNA of Physcomitrium patens, 847 nucleotides long. NCBI's taxonomy places the organism in Eukaryota, Viridiplantae, Streptophyta, Bryopsida, Funariales, Funariaceae. The record is from RefSeq and is a predicted model, not a curated record.
CCGCAUUCUGCUUUCCUCCCCAAUUCGGCAGUGUUGCGGUAGAGACCAGCAUUGUUGUUUGUAUUUUCUUUCUUUUUUUUCUCUUCCAUGCGAUAGCCGAUUCAAAGUCUAUGCGUGGCGGAGAUUCAACUGCGGUCGACUGGAGUUUGGCUGGUGGUGGCUCGCGUUAUUGACGACAGUGUGGCGAUGGUUUGAGUUCUUCGAUCCUACAAUGUUUUGGUGACAAUAGCAGUGUUGUUGCGGGAUCAAAUUAAACAAAUCUAGCGGGAGCACUUCUCUUCCUAGGUCAAUCUAAGUAGCGAACGACGACAACAACAUUCUAAAUCGUUUAUCAAACUUCAAAUUGGACAGUAGUAGCAUACACUUAGUGCAAGAGGGUGAAGCGAAUUCAGCAAACAAUAGGAAGAAGAAGGUGAGUUGAACUGCCAACGACUGGAGUGCAAAAAAUCCUUGACGUUAUUCUAUUGUUGCAAGUCGAGGUAAAGGAGAAAGAAUGACGUUCCUGGUUGCGGUUGGAUGGUGCACGGGUCGAGAAUGCGACCCGACCCUGAUCACAAUGUUCAAGUAUUAAGCUUCGCAUCUUGGGAACUCAUGAUUUUGUGAAAUCAUGGAGACAUUUGCUGAAGUCUUUUCGUUGUUUUGUGCCGAGGGUUGCACUGUUGUAGAGUAGUUGAAUUGCUAGAGGUAGAUCAAUUGCUGCUAGUAUGGUUUUUUUUUCCAUAUCACCGUCCUGGCCUGUAUGCAGGGUCGAUAUUAGAACUCCGUAAGGCCCAGAUUGAUACUUAGGAUUUUAAAAAAGAGAAAAAUAAAAUAAAAUAAAAUACUUGAUCUUGCGCUUUGGCUUGAA